Amphimedon queenslandica is the source of this 471-nucleotide long non-coding RNA. RefSeq lists it as uncharacterized. The record is from RefSeq and is a predicted model, not a curated record. The transcript is spliced from 2 exons. NCBI's taxonomy places the organism in Eukaryota, Metazoa, Porifera, Demospongiae, Haplosclerida, Niphatidae.
GACACCAAGAGGGAAUAUGCCCUGUAUGAUGAAAAGAAAAUAAUAAAAGGAAGAAAAAUGAGGGAGAGAGAAAACACUUGAUCCCUGCUCUUCAAUCCUUCAGUAAAGAGUGUGGCCGACUUUUUGUUUCUUCCGAAUAUCAGAACACCAGACACAGGCCUGUCCAACCUGUUUUAAAACUGGUUUUAUCAGUCGUUUCUCUUUGCCCUCUCCUUACCUGUGAAGCGUCCUUAGUCUUUCCCCUCCUAACUCGUCAAAAAGAUGAGGUCGGUCAUGCUCUAAUAUUUUAAGAACAGUGUUCUUCUGUUUGAAGACAAAAGAACGUAUUGUGAUGAUUAAAAUAAUUAUCUAAAACUUCAGACUUCUAUUUGAUGUACAUGUUUAAUAAUAGCUACUAUAGUAUAUAAAAACUAUAUCGACCAUCAUGGAUUAUUUGCCGAGUGGCUUUGUAUAGAUAAAAACUUUUAAGUG